Molecule: ribosomal RNA, 253 nt
Filed under: uncultured bacterium
Lineage: Bacteria
Description: partial 16S ribosomal RNA
Rfam family: Bacterial small subunit ribosomal RNA
Source: RNAcentral
UACGUAGGGUGCGAGCGUUUUCCGGAAUUAUUGGGCGUAAAGGGCUUGUAGGCGGUUUGUCGCGUCGGGAGUGAAAUCCACUGGCUUAACUGGUGGCUUGCUUUCGAUACGGGCAGACUGGAGGUAUGCAGGGGAGAACGGAAUUCCUGGUGUAGCGGUGAAAUGCGCAGAUAUCAGGAGGAACACCGGUGGCGAAGGCGGUUCUCUGGGCAUGUCCUGACGCUGAGGAGCGAAAGCGUGGGGAGCGAACAGG